AAGUGAUUUCACAUUUUGCCUAAGACAGCAGGUCCCGAAAGGGUUAAAGGUAAUACGCCUACCGAGGACAGACUUAAUGCGUAAAGCAUUGAUUAUCAGUUUAUUCAGUCCUUCUGUCUUAUAGAUAGAAGGACUUUUUUGUUAGAGCA
This is a non-coding RNA of Eubacterium sp. CAG:76, 149 nucleotides long. The record is from Rfam. NCBI's taxonomy places the organism in Bacteria, Bacillati, Bacillota, Clostridia, Eubacteriales, Eubacteriaceae.